RNAcentral lists this ribosomal RNA (254 nucleotides) under uncultured bacterium. RNAcentral describes it as "partial 16S ribosomal RNA". It matches the Rfam family "Bacterial small subunit ribosomal RNA", at positions 1250 to 1500 of the family's 1533-position model. The record is from RNAcentral.
CGAGCCUGCGAAGGCAAGCGGAUCUCUUAAAGACUGUUCUCAGUUCGGACUGCAGUCUGCAACUCGACUGCACGAAGCUGGAAUCGCUAGUAAUCGCGGAUCAGCACGCCGCGGUGAAUACGUUCCCGGGCCUUGUACACACCGCCCGUCACACCAUGAGAGUUGGCAAUACCCAACGUACGUGAUCUAACCCGCAAGGGAGGAAGCGUCCUAAGGUAGGGUCAGCGAUUGGGGUGAAGUCGUAACAAGGUAGC